UACUCUUUCUCGUACCUCAGAUUAUCUAAC
This 30-nucleotide small RNA is filed under the name Bombyx mori (domestic silkworm). RNAcentral's name for it is "piRNA piR-bmo-1944425". The record is from RNAcentral. Lineage: Eukaryota; Metazoa; Arthropoda; Insecta; Lepidoptera; Bombycidae.